GCCAGUGUGGCAUAGUGGUUGGAGUGUUGGACGAUGACUCUGGAGACCAGGGUUCGAGCCCAGCUUGGCCA
Molecule: transfer RNA, 71 nt
Filed under: Phrynosoma platyrhinos (Desert horned lizard)
Lineage: Eukaryota; Metazoa; Chordata; Lepidosauria; Squamata; Phrynosomatidae
Description: tRNA-OTHER
Source: RNAcentral